AACGAACGCUGGCGGCAUGCCUAACACAUGCAAGUCGAACGAGACCUUCGGGUCUAGUGGCGCACGGGUGCGUAACGCGUGGGAACCUGCCCUUAGGUUCGGAAUAACUCCCCGAAAGGGGUGCUAAUACCGGAUAAUGUCUUCGGACCAAAGAUUUAUCGCCUUUGGAUGGGCCCGCGUUGGAUUAGCUAGUUGGUAGGGUAAAAGCCUACCAAGGCGACGAUCCAUAGCUGGUCUGAGAGGAUGAUCAGCCACACUGGGACUGAGACACGGCCCAGACUCCUACGGGAAGCAGCAGUGGGGAAUAUUGGACAAUGGGCGAAAGCCUGAUCCAGCACUGCCGCGUGAGUGAUGAAGGCCGUAGGGUUGUAAAGCUCUUUUACCCGGGAUGAUAAUGACAGUACCGGGAGAAUAAGCUCCGGCUAACUCCGUG
Molecule: ribosomal RNA, 433 nt
Filed under: uncultured bacterium
Lineage: Bacteria
Description: partial 16S ribosomal RNA
Rfam family: Bacterial small subunit ribosomal RNA
Source: RNAcentral